Molecule: long non-coding RNA, 522 nt
Filed under: Pseudonaja textilis
Lineage: Eukaryota; Metazoa; Chordata; Lepidosauria; Squamata; Elapidae
Description: lncRNA (ENSPTXG00000014614.1)
Source: RNAcentral
UCGGAGGCACAUAGAGAAAGAGAUGCUACGAGCCUUGCCCCCCCCCCGUUUGAAGUGGUGAGGAGGAAGGGAGGGAGGGAGGGAGCCCUAAAUAACCAUUCCGCAGGGAGAAAGACAGGCAGCCGGGAGAGGUAAGAUCCGAGGGAAGCAAAGGAACUAAGGGGAGGUGACAAACCCAGAGUGGGGGUGGGGGGGGGAGCCCUCGAAAGGAGAGGCGUCGAGGAGGCCGCGCUCAGGCGGGCCCGAUCCCAGGCAGAAUUACUUAGAAGGCCUCAAUCAGAUGCAUUCCUCAAUGGUGCCAAUCUCCACAGCCAGUAGCUUCCUAUCUGACAGAUGGAAUAAACUUCCUUGUGGUGGACCAAAUAUGUUUGGAUAGACCAUUGCAGAUAACAAGCUCAGUUUUGGCAAGCAGGAUAACUUUCCGAAAACCACAGAGUGAGAGGAAUUAGAUAUGGCAGAAGAAGACAACAAAAGAAAUGUGUAAUCUGAAAAUAAGCUAGAUCAAGCCAUUGACUGCAGAGG